This is a long non-coding RNA of Helianthus annuus (common sunflower), 588 nucleotides long. RefSeq lists it as uncharacterized. The record is from RefSeq and is a predicted model, not a curated record. Lineage: Eukaryota; Viridiplantae; Streptophyta; Magnoliopsida; Asterales; Asteraceae. The transcript has 2 exons.
AAAAAUCGUUUUCGGGCAUCGAUAAGGUAAACAGGUUUGUGUGGUUCGUGCAUCACCUAGUUAACAUUGCUAGAAAAAAUAGAGUUGUUGGUUAUCCGUCGGCGCAUUUGACCGUCGUUAAUCCCUCACAGAAGUCAGUGGAUAACUGUCGCAAACGAAACAACCCACUAGCAAAAUUUUGAAGGAUUUUCGUCGAGUGUAGAUCAGAUGGAAAUCCACUACCGACUUGCAACCGAGACGGCAAGCCACCCGGGUUCGAGACGGGCACCCUACCGAAGCAGAGCUAGGCCGCCCUCUGGAGCACAUGUAUUCCAGCGGUGCCACAACAGAGGCUCGAACUCGGAACCCAUCGUGCGGGAACCUCCCUAAGGAGUAAACCCUCACACCUCACCUGCAGACCACGGGGAUCGAACCUGGCUCUCCAAGGAGAAACCAAAUCCUUUCUAUCGUAUAUAAAUUAUAAGCUCGUAGUGUGUAUAACAUAAUUACAUGCACUGAGAAAGAGAAAUCGAUGGGAUUUAAUUCCACUUUUUGAGUUACAUGUAAAGUGAUAAAUAUAAAUGGUUAUAUACUUCGCUCAGUUUCCUA